UAUAAUAGUUAUGCAAUAGUCAGGAAACUCAAGGGUGGUCAUCGUUACCCCAGAAGGAAAGUGGGUGAUGCAUAUGAUGACAGUAGAUCAGACAUUAAUGCUUAUGAUAGCAUUUGCAAGUUUGGUAUUGUCCAUCAUAUCUUUUAGAGACAAAAAAUAACCCACCCUUGAGCGUUGGAGUGCAAUAGGGUGAGUUUUUUACCUUAACACGCUGAUCCCCUUUGAAGGGAACCUGCUAUUGUAUGACUGUUUGGUGUUCUAGCACCGAGC
RNAcentral lists this small RNA (270 nucleotides) under Metabacillus litoralis. Its description in RNAcentral is "Bacillus litoralis BsrG". It matches the Rfam family "BsrG". From Rfam's summary of the family: bsrE, bsrG and bsrH pair through intermolecular interactions with antisense sRNAs. Lineage: Bacteria; Bacillati; Bacillota; Bacilli; Caryophanales; Bacillaceae. The record is from Rfam by way of RNAcentral.